Molecule: ribosomal RNA, 497 nt
Filed under: uncultured bacterium
Lineage: Bacteria
Description: partial 16S ribosomal RNA
Rfam family: Bacterial small subunit ribosomal RNA
Source: RNAcentral
GAUGAACGCUGGCGGCGUGCCUAAUACAUGCAAGUCGAGCGAACAGACGAGGAGCUUGCUCCUUUGACGUUAGCGGCGGACGGGUGAGUAACACGUAGGUAACCUACCUAUAAGACUGGGAUAACUUCGGGAAACCGGAGCUAAUACCGGAUAAUAUUUCGAACCGCAUGGUUCGAUAGUGAAAGACGGCUUUGCUAUCACUUAUAGAUGGACCUGCGCUGUAUUAGCUAGUUGGUAAGGUAACGGCUUACCAAGGCAACGAUACGUAGCCGACCUGAGAGGGUGAUCGGCCACACUGGAACUGAGACACGGUCCAGACUCCUACGGGAGGCAGCAGUAGGGAAUCUUCCGCAAUGGGCGAAAGCCUGACGGAGCAACGCCGCGUGAGUGAUGAAGGUCUUCGGAUCGUAAAACUCUGUUAUUAGGGAAGAACAAACGUGUAAGUAACUGUGCACGUCUUGACGGUACCUAAUCAGAAAGCCACGGCUAACUACGUG